CAAUAGCGUAUAUUAAAGUUGUUGCGGUUAAAAAGCUCGUAGUUGGAUUUCUACCGAAGACAGCCGGUCCACACUACGUGUGCGCAUCUGGUGUGGCUUUGGUAUCCUCAUGGAGAACAGUUCUGCGCUUCAUUGCGUGGACUGGUAUUCAUGACUUUUACUUUGAGGAAAUUAGAGUGUUCACGACAGGCGUUUGCCUUGAAUACAUUAGCAUGGAAUAAUAAUAUAGGACUUUGGCCCUAUUUUGUUGGUUUCUAGAGCUGAAGUAAUGAUUAAUAGGGACACUUGGGGGCAUUCGUAUUAUCACGUCAGAGGUGGAAUUCUUGGAUUUGUUGAAGACGGACUACUGCGAAAGCAUCUGCCAAAGAUGUUCUCAUUGAUCAAGAACGAAAGUUAGGUGAUCGAAGAUGAUUAGAUACCAU
This 422-nucleotide ribosomal RNA is filed under the name uncultured eukaryote. RNAcentral describes it as "bacterial SSU rRNA". It matches the Rfam family "Eukaryotic small subunit ribosomal RNA", at positions 592 to 1018 of the family's 1831-position model. The record is from RNAcentral.